RNAcentral lists this RNase P RNA (352 nucleotides) under Methylococcales bacterium. RNAcentral's name for it is "RNase P RNA component class A". It matches the Rfam family "Bacterial RNase P class A". From Rfam's summary of the family: Ribonuclease P (RNase P) is a ubiquitous endoribonuclease, found in archaea, bacteria and eukarya as well as chloroplasts and mitochondria. Lineage: Bacteria; Pseudomonadati; Pseudomonadota; Gammaproteobacteria; Methylococcales. The record is from RNAcentral.
AGAGUUGGCUGGGCAGUCGCUGUUUUAUUGUCAAAAUAAAAUGGAGGAAAGUCCGGGCUCCAUUGGGCAGAGUGCCAGGUAACGCCUGGGAGGCGUGAGCCUACGGAAAGUGCCACAGAAAAUAAACCGCCUGUUAUUUAUUGAUAGGUAAGGGUGAAAAGGUGCGGUAAGAGCGCACCGCGCAACUGGUAACAGCGGUGGCAUGGUAAACCCCACUCGGAGCAAGAUCAAAUAGAGGGACAGACGCGUGGCCCGCGCGGUUCCUGGGUAGAUUGCUUGAGCUGUAAGGUGACUUGCAGCCUAGAUGAAUGACUGUUCACGACAGAACCCGGCUUAUAGGCUGACUCUUUCU